UACGGAGGGUGCAAGCGUUGUCCGGAAUCAUUGGGCGUAAAGAGUUCGUAGGUGGUUUGGUAAGUCAGAUGUUAAAGGCAUAGGCUCAACUUAUGUAAGGCAUUUGAUACCGCCGGACUUGAAUGCGGUAGAGGUAAAGGGAAUUCCCGGUGUAGCGGUGAAAUGCGUAGAUAUCGGGAGGAACAUCGGAGGCGUAAGCGCUUUACUGGGCCGUAAUUGACACUGAGGAACGAAAGACGGGGUAGCAAAU
This 250-nucleotide ribosomal RNA is filed under the name uncultured prokaryote. RNAcentral describes it as "partial 16S ribosomal RNA". It matches the Rfam family "Bacterial small subunit ribosomal RNA", at positions 524 to 773 of the family's 1533-position model. The record is from RNAcentral.